RNAcentral lists this ribosomal RNA (462 nucleotides) under Limosa haemastica. Its description in RNAcentral is "partial 12S ribosomal RNA". It matches the Rfam family "Bacterial small subunit ribosomal RNA", at positions 543 to 1226 of the family's 1533-position model. Lineage: Eukaryota; Metazoa; Chordata; Aves; Charadriiformes; Scolopacidae. The record is from RNAcentral.
UCCCGUAAACGGCGUAAAGAGUGGUACUAUGAUAUCACAACAACUAAGACCAAAGCGCAAUUAAGCUGUUAUAAGCUCAAGAUGUGUCUAAGACCCCCCUCAAAAUGAUCUUAGCGCUUCUGAUUUAUUUAAGCCCACGAAAGCUAAGACACAAACUGGGAUUAGAUACCCCACUAUGCUUAGCCCUAAAUCUCGAUGCCUUCCCACUACUAAAGCAUCCGCCCGAGAACUACGAGCACAAACGCUUAAAACUCUAAGGACUUGGCGGUGCCCCAAACCCACCUAGAGGAGCCUGUUCUAUAAUCGAUAACCCACGUUACACCCGACCGCUCCUUGCUAAAGGCAGCCUACAUACCGCCGUCGCCAGCUCACCUCAUCUGAGAGGUCAAUAGUGAGCACAAUAGCCCAAACCCGCUAACAAGACAGGUCGAGGUAUAGCCCACGGGGUGGAAGAAAUGGGCU